This 292-nucleotide ribosomal RNA is filed under the name uncultured bacterium. Its description in RNAcentral is "partial 16S ribosomal RNA". It matches the Rfam family "Bacterial small subunit ribosomal RNA", at positions 505 to 796 of the family's 1533-position model. The record is from RNAcentral.
GUGUCAGCCGCCGCGGUAAAACGUAGGAGGCAAGCGUUAUCCGGAGUUACUGGGCGUAAAGCGCAUGUAGGCGGUUGGACAAGUUGGUUGUGAAAGCGCCCGGCUAAACUGGGCGAGGCCGAUCAAGACUGUUCGACUAGAGGGUGUUAGAGGGGCGCAGAAUUCGGGGUGUAGCGGUGAAAUGUGUAGAGAUCCCGAGGAAUACCAGUGGGGAAGCCGGCGCCCUGGGACAUUACUGACGCUGAGAUGCGAAAGCGUGGGGAGCGAACGGGAUUAGAUACCCCCGUAGUCC